CCUACGGGAGGCAGCAGUGAGGAAUAUUGGUCAAUGGACGAGAGUCUGAACCAGCCAAGUAGCGUGAAGGAUGACUGCCCUAUGGGUUGUAAACUUCUUUUAUAUGGGAAUAAAAUGUUCCACGUGUGGGAUUUUGUAUGUACCAUACGAAUAAGGAUCGGCUAACUCCGUGCCAGCAGCCGCGGUAAUACGGAGGAUCCGAGCGUUAUCCGGAUUUAUUGGGUUUAAAGGGAGCGUAGGUGGAUUGUUAAGUCAGUUGUGAAAGUUUGCGGCUCAACCGUAGAAUUGCAGUUGAAACUGGCAGUCUUGAGUACAGUAGAGGUGGGCGGAAUUCGUGGUGUAGCGGUGAAAUGCUUAGAUAUCACGAAGAACUCCGAUUGCGAAGGCAGCUUACUGGACUGCAACUGACGCUGAGGCUCGAAAGUGUGGGUAUCAAACAGGAUUAGAUACCCCAGUAGUC
This 460-nucleotide ribosomal RNA is filed under the name uncultured bacterium. RNAcentral describes it as "partial 16S ribosomal RNA". It matches the Rfam family "Bacterial small subunit ribosomal RNA", at positions 338 to 795 of the family's 1533-position model. The record is from RNAcentral.